Molecule: ribosomal RNA, 618 nt
Filed under: uncultured bacterium
Lineage: Bacteria
Description: bacterial SSU rRNA
Rfam family: Bacterial small subunit ribosomal RNA
Source: RNAcentral
CCUACGGGAGGCAGCAGUGGGGAAUUUUGGACAAUGGGCGAAAGCCUGAUCCAGCAAUGCCGCGUGAGUGAAGAAGGCCUUCGGGUUGUAAAGCUCUUUUGUCAGGGAAGAAACGGUGAAAGCUAAUAUCUUUUGCUAAUGACGGUACCUGAAGAAUAAGCACCGGCUAACUACGUGCCAGCAGCCGCGGUAAUACGUAGGGUGCAAGCGUUAAUCGGAAUUACUGGGCGUAAAGCGUGCGCAGGCGGUUUUGUAAGUCUGAUGUGAAAUCCCCGGGCUCAACCUGGGAAUUGCAUUGGAGACUGCAAGGCUAGAAUCUGGCAGAGGGGGGUAGAAUUCCACGUGUAGCAGUGAAAUGCGUAGAUAUGUGGAGGAACACCGAUGGCGAAGGCAGCCCCCUGGGUCAAGAUUGACGCUCAUGCACGAAAGCGUGGGGAGCAAACAGGAUUAGAUACCCUGGUAGUCCACGCCCUAAACGAUGUCUACUAGUUGUCGGGUCUUAAUUGACUUGGUAACGCAGCUAACGCGUGAAGUAGACCGCCUGGGGAGUACGGUCGCAAGAUUAAAACUCAAAGGAAUUGACGGCNGAGAGAGACGAGACGACGACGAGGGAGGAGG